GAUGAAGAACGCAGUGAAAUGCGAUAAGUAAUGUGAAUUGCAGAAUUCAGUGAAUCAUCGAGUCUUUGAACGCACAUUGCGCCCCCUGGUAUUCCGGGGGGCAUGCCUGUCCGAGCGUCAUUGCUGCCCUCAAGCACGGCUUGUGUGUUGGGCCCCGUCCCCUCCCCCGGGGACGGGCCCGAAAGGCAGCGGCGGCACCGCGUCCGAUCCUCGAGCGUAUGGGGCUUUGUCACCCGCUCUGUAGGCCCGGCCGGCGCCAGCCGACACCCAACUUUUAUUUCUAAGGCUGACCUCGGAUCAGGUAGGGAUACCCGCUGAACUUAAGCAUAUCAAUAAGCGGACGA
This 344-nucleotide unclassified non-coding RNA is filed under the name soil metagenome. RNAcentral describes it as "partial contains 5.8S ribosomal RNA, internal transcribed spacer 2, and large subunit ribosomal RNA". The stretch from base 1 to 120 matches the Rfam family "5.8S ribosomal RNA", at positions 35 to 154 of the family's 154-position model. The record is from RNAcentral.